AAUGAACGUUGGCGGCGUGGAUUAGGCAUGCAAGUCGUGCGAGAAGCUCUCCUUCGGGAGGGUGGAAAGCGGCGUAAGGGAGAGUAACGCGUGGAUACCUGCCCCGGGAUCCGGGAUAGCUGCGGGAAACUGCAGGUAAUACCGGAUAACGUCUCCGGACCAAAGGUGUGAUUCCGUCCUGGGAUGGGUCCACGUCCUAUUAGCUUGUUGGUGGGGUAACGGCCUACCAAGGCGACGAUGGGUACCGGGCGUGAGAGCGUGGCCCGGCUCACUGGGACUGAGACACUGCCCAGACACCUACGGGUGGCUGCAGUCGAGAAUCUUCGGCAAUGGGCGCAAGCCUGACCGAGCGACGCCGCGUGCGGGAUGAAGGCCUUCGGGUUGUAAACCGCUGUCAGAGGGGAGGAAAUCCUGGGAGGCUAUCCUUUCAGGUUGACCUAUCCUCAGAGGAAGGACGGGCUAAGUUCGUG
This 470-nucleotide ribosomal RNA is filed under the name uncultured bacterium. Its description in RNAcentral is "bacterial SSU rRNA". It matches the Rfam family "Bacterial small subunit ribosomal RNA", at positions 28 to 507 of the family's 1533-position model. The record is from RNAcentral.